Long non-coding RNA from Equus caballus (horse), 11952 nucleotides. NCBI's taxonomy places the organism in Eukaryota, Metazoa, Chordata, Mammalia, Perissodactyla, Equidae. The record is from Ensembl.
GGGGCAUACUCGGAGGCCCUGCGGGUUAAGCACCUGGUACUCGGGGACACGUCUCUCCAGUCCUCUUACGCCGGGGGUCCAGGCUUUUGGUGCCGGGUCCGUGGUCGCGCGCCGCCAGCUCGCCCGUCUCCAUCCCCUCGGCGCCAAGUCCAGCUGGGCAAGCGUUGCCAUGGCAGCGCCGCGGGCGGGGAUGCGGGAGGCUGAGCGCGCCGCCGGGCUCGCCCCUUUGUGCAGCGGGGGCGGCCGUGCGCUCCCCCUACUCCCUGCGGCCUCCAGCCUCCCGGUCCCGACCCCUGGGAGCGGGCAGAGGGUAGGGUGUGGGGUUGCAGGGGCGCGGGGAGGCGGGAGGAGGGCCGAGGCGAGGACCAGGGGUGGGGCGCCUCCGCCCGCCAGCCGCUCCCGCAUUAAAAUUUCAUGGGCGCUGCAGCAGCUACAAAGACGACGCCGGCUGCGCUCGAGGGACCAGAGGGAGGGAGGCUGCGGACGAGCGCGGGGAGGAGUUUGCGAUGGGAGGCGCUCGCAAGGGCUCCCCCAGUUCUGCGCUGAUAGCCCGGGCACAAAGAGCCCUCUGCACUCGCGCCGCAGGACCGCCGACCCGAGGAAUUUAAUCAGUUGCCUCGAGACCAUGGAAGCAACUAGAAUAAACGGAUCUGAGAUGGUUUAGCCAUCAUGGGCCAGUUUCUUCUCAGCGAUAGUAAUGCUGACGACCCCAGUGUUUGCGGUUUACACACACCCUCCUCAAGUCUUUUCUCAUGGUAUCCCCACCCCCGCAUUUGAACAUAAGUCUUCUGCCCCUUUGGGGGUCAACAGGCCUGUGCAGAAUCAAAAUGCACCACUCUCCAUCAACGUGAUCUUGGAGCAAGUCACUUAAACCCGAAGCUCAGUUUCCCCAUCUGUAAAAUGGACACAAAAAACCCCAACUCAUCGUUUCAUCAGUGGCCCUGUGCGGUGGGCGUCGCUCUCAUCCCCGUUUCCUGGGUAAGAAGACAGUCCCAGCACAGCGGUGCACGUGCUCACGGUGACAGAGCAGGGAUGGGACUCCAUCCCGGAAAGCCUGCGUCCUUUCCAGCGUCUCGGGAUGCUUGGGUCGGCAUGGGCCCGACCAGGAGACCUCCCGGUUUCCUGUUUUGCUUCCGAUCUGCAUCCGAGGAGCUGAGGCAUCACCCUGCCCACCCAUGUCGUUCCAGACGCCUUCCCGUGGCCGCCAGGACCCUGACAGCAUCAGAGGGAUAGCUGAGGGGACCCUUUCUCUCCUCUGCGCCCCCAGGGACGGCAGACACCAGCUUCAUGCCGUGUGGUCAGAUCCACCACGAAAUCCAUACGUGCAGAGGCCUCCUGAAUCUCAGAGGUCUUUGCUUUUCUGGACAUUUCCUAAAAAUGGAAUCGUGCAGCCUGUGGUCUCUUGUGCCUGGCGUCUUUCGCCCCGUAUGAUAUUUCUGAGGUUCGGCCGUAUCGUAAGUGCGACGAGUUCCUGGGAUGCAGGAGAGAGAAGGGAAUGUCAGGGUUCUUCAGGAUGCCCACAACCACACCGGGGAAACAGCCUUGCAGAUAAGUAUUCAAACUUACCAGCCCCCGGCCGGCCAGCCUGCCCCCCUCCUGGUCUAUGCAGGAGAGUGUGGCAGCCAAGAAUCCCCACGGGAGGGGAGAAACUGGUGACGCAGCUCCUUGGCUUUUCACCUCUUUGCCACAAAGAAAGAGCUUGUCCCCAUUUGAUGGGGCCCCCGAAAGGGUAAUUUUCAUGCCCCGCUUUUGGCCUCAAGGCUUGUAUUUUAUAAAUGCCCCCAUCAGGAACUUCUGAGAGCUGAGUUGAAAGACUUGUCUUGAGGACCUGUAGACGGGUGUCAGAAGGAGGCCCGGGACUCCUGGAGAGUUGGGCUGGCGCUUCUCUUCUCUUCUCAGCUCUAGCCCUUUGCCAUUAUAUUUAUCAAACGUGGCCAGGGCUCCUUUGCCAGGCAGUCAAGAGGGGACCUCAGUGCUGUGCCCUCAGGGCGCAUUCUCAUCAGUGCAGGGGUCUGAGUACAUCUCCGGCUCUGGGCCCGCGCCCCAAGUCCUGGGUGCUGACAGCAAACUCUGAAAAUUCGAGCAGAGAGCCCCAGACUCUCCUGCGGUAGGUCUGCCACUCAACAAGGAUAGCUUUGCUGUCCCCAAAAGCAAUACCUGGGGGAUGGUUCUGGGUCAGGAUUAGUGGGCAAUUGGAGGAGGGUGGGAGGGGGCAGAAAAAUAACCGGCUGAGCACAGGGCUCCUCCUGUUUUGCAUCCACUGCCUCCAAGUAUGGGUUACUAUUGCGCACUUUGAGUGCACGGGUCCCACGGCUCAGAGAGAGGCACAGACUUCCAAGGGCUGCACAGUACGGCAGAGCUGGAACCAGGACUCUGGAUUCCUGACUCUGUUCAGCUGAGUCUGUCUUUACUUUCUCCUGGGUCACAUUCUGCUGAUGUUGGGAGGAGGCAAGUGGGUGCAGGGUGCCCCUUCCUCACUCCAGGACCGUCUGGGUUGGGAGGAAGGGAGGUGAAGGGUGUGUGCCUAGGCCCAGCCCCCCUGGCUCCCGGGCCGCCUUCUUGCUGCCAGAGAAAUCUGGCCAGGCCCGGGCUGGGGAGGGGGCCUGGGCGCGGUUUUCUCCUGGGGCGUGGCUGGCUCUUGUAUUCCAGGAUGGGCCUUGGGGGCUGCGUGGGGAAGGAGCUGGGAGCGGGGCCUGGGCUGCCAACGCCAUGGCCGGGCACUGCCAGAAACACAGCCCAAGCACCUUCUCCCAGCUCGAUGCUGAGGAUCCAGAGGUGAACACCAGAGAUGUGGUUCCGCCCUCUCUGAUCUUCAGGCCACUCUGCCCCAGCUGUGUCUCCAAGACUCUUGGCCUGGUCUUCUCUUUGGAGCCCGGGCGACUCUGGACUCCAGCCACGAGGACACACGGAGGAACCUUCGGUGCUUUUCUGGAGCCCUCAACAAUUCCCCGAAGACCUUAUCCUUUCCAGCUCCCGGGAUGAAGCCUCCUGUGGAUAGAGGCCCCCUCCUGGCUGGAGCUCAGCCAAGCACAGGGCCUGGCUGUGGGGGACGGCUCGAGGGGUGUGACGGAGGCUGGCCACCCACCGUCCCCUCUGCACCCACCAUGACCCACCUGCUGGGCCUGCCUGUCCGGGCCCGGAGACCCUUCCUGACCCCGUGUGGACUUCAUUCCUCCCGGCAUCCCUGCUCACGACCAGACAGAGCUCGGCCCGAACCCCACUGACCACCCCGUCCCCAAGGCCGGGUCUCAAAGGACCCUCCAGGACGGACGCAGGAAAGCAGGCUGGGAAUCCGGAGGAGCUGCCAGGGGUUGGGGGUGGGGGGGGCGUCGCAGCUCGGGGGUGCUGUGGGCUGGAGUCUCAUGUGCUGUUUGUCAUGUGAGCGAUUCUUAUUUUGGGGGGUGCCUUUUGGAUGGGGCUUCUCUGUGCUUCUCCUCUUCCUGAUGGUCACAGGGAGGAGGCAGGCAGGGUCGGGGGAGCGGGGGCCUUCCUCCGUGUCGCCGAGCUCUGGGAGGGGCAGCUGGAGGGGAGAGGGUGUGCCGCCUUGAAGGGGGAGAGUUUCCUAGAGAUGAGGGGACCUAGGCCAGGGGAGGUCGCCAGAAGGAGACAGACACUGGGCUUUGUUCCCACCGUCCAAAGAGAAUGGGCUAGAACCCCCCUGGCCCCAAGGCUUGAGGGGUCCCCCCAGCCUGAUGUCAGCCCCCUGCUCCUUGUUGCACCAAUCUCCAAUUGUGUCCUUGGGCAGCAAAGGCAGGCAGGCGGGCCCAGCCACAUGCAGCCUCCCCAUCACACGGCUGCAGACUCACUUCCGGCCCCUUCCGGGUCUCCCCUUAGGCCAAUCCCUCCAGGGGGCCGGUCCCAGUGCUUGUCCUGGAGCAGCCUCAGCCUUUCUUCAAAGCCCCUCAUCAUUUUCCUGGCAGGGGAGGGGGCCUGCAUGAGUCGGCUUGGCUGCCAUCACAGAAUACCCCAGACCGGGGGGCUUCAAAAGCAGAAAGGCAUUUUCUUGCAGUUCUGGAGGCUGGAGGUCCAUGAUCAAGAUGCCAGGGGUGGUUUCCGCUGAGGCCUCUCUCCUUGGCUGCAGGUGGCACCUUCCUACCGUGUCCUCACAUGGCCCCUUCUCUGUGCACACGCGCGGCGGGAGAGAGAGAGCACUGAUGUCUGUUCUUAUAAGGGCGCCAGUCCCAUCAGAUCAGGGCCCCGCCCUUAUGACCUCAUUUAGCCUUACUACCUCCUUAAAAGCCCUGUGUCCAAAUACAGCCACGUGGGGGUUACAGCUUCAACCUAUGAAUUUAGCCCGGAUGGGGUGCGUGAGGGGGGGGGGGGGGACGACACAAUGCAGUUCGCAACCCGUGCUCCCCACAAACCUGGAGCCAUCUCCCCUUCAGAGUCCCCACCCCCCACAGGGAGGGGAAGGAGGAGCAGAGUGAGGGAGGUACUGUGCUCAGGUGGCCCCAGGAGCCUUGGGAACACAGGGAACUGGCUGGACCCAGUGCAGCGAGGGGGCGUCCGCAGGAGAGGGAUGCCCUGGGAAGGGCCCGGGCACAGGGUCCCGAGGGCACGCUCUCUGCUGUUCAAUCUUGGGCAAGUCGCCUCACCUCUCUGAGUCCGAUUGAUUUCCAUUCUUGAAACAGGGGCCCUCUGCUCGCCGGGGUGGGGGGGGGGUGGUGCGCAGGGAGGUUCCCUCGAAAUCCCCUGCACGUCCAGUGCCUCGCUCUUAGUCGGUCCUCGGGAGGCACCCCCAUCCGUCCGGGAGUCCAGACUUAGAGCAUAUCUGGUCCAGGCGCUCUGACUGUGGACUCAGCAUCCCCGACCCAGAGGUGCUUCUGACGGCUCUUCCCCGGCCCGUUUUCUCAGCAUCCCUCUCUAACCAGCUUGGCGAAGUGGCUGCAUUUCAUGGCCUCCAUAGUAGCUCAAAGUGCUUCCUGGGGUAUUUCAAUUCUACCCUUCUCAUCAGAAUGGAGCACUUACCGUGGGUCCUUCCCUGUGUUAGGCCUUUUGAGGGAACACAGGGGACAAUCUGGCCAUCCCACGCGGGAGACAACCAGCUCACAUGGAGAAUUGGACAAUGGGGCAUAAAACGGUCCACUGAGGCACAGGUUCGGAGUGUUUAGGGGCUGGGAGUAAGAUCCCAGUGCGGGCUGCAGCAGGCUGGACAGGCUUCCCAGCGAGGCAGAACCAAGCAGGGCCACGAAGGAUGAGAAAGAUGUGGCUUAGCUGAGAGCUUCUAGGGGGAAAUUAGAGCAGAGAGUCCCAUAACACAUUCUAGGAGAUGUCACUGCUCUUUAAAAAAAAAAACGUGACUUGAAAUUCAGCAAGUUUCUGUAGUGCAGGACUUAUCAGAGCCUUUAAAAUACUAAUGGAGAUCUUGAAUACUCAAGGACAGACAGAGGAUGAAGUGUUCCCCCCAGACUUUACUGGCAACAGAACACUCUUCUUAUAGAGCAUCAUUUAGAAGUGUGGGAGAUGCCAGGCUGGGGUUUCCGUGGGAACACCACAGCAGUGAUAGGAGAUGACAUAUCUAGGGCAUGCUCAGGUGCUUGGCGGCAUCAGCUGGGAAGGCUGAAGACCAGGAGGGACCGGGGAGUCCUGGUGUCAGGAGUCAGGAGAGCUCUCUGCAGUUUCAUAUGCGGGAAGGGCAGGCCCAUGGUCGGAGUAGCCAGAGGCUGGCAGUUGUCGAUGGAAGACAUGCCCACCAGACACGGUGGUUCUGGGGCGUCAGACCUUUCGUGGGAAGAUGCUGGUGCGUGCACGUGUGCGUGUGGGAGUGUGUGCUGAGCGUGACAGGAUCCAGCCUUCUGGGAAGGGGCUGACCAGACCCAGGCAGGGGGUUUCCAGCCAGGACAAGGAGGACCUAUUUUUAGGGGAACUGAAGUGUCUGGGGGGAGGCCCUUGAGGCCUACCGCCAAGAAAUGGGGAAGGAAACGCUUUCGGGCAGGAUCCAUGUGGGUAGGCUUGAUUCUGGUAGGGGUGAGGGGUUUGGAGGCAGACCCCUGCCUGGGCAGGCCCGGUUCCCUGGCUGGUCGGGGUGGGGGGGCCUCGGGGCUGCAGCUGGAGGGGCCGGGCAGUGUUGCAUGGUGGGGUUAACCUACUAACCCAGGGCUCGGCCGGGACGCUGUGGCGAGUGAUGAGGUGCCUGGCCUUCUGCCAACCAACUAACCCACUAACCAGGCCGGAGCAUGCCCUACUAACCCCCCGCAGCCAGACCCUACUAACCUUGGAGCUCAUGGGCCUUUCAGGGGGCUGGGACGUGGGGGCAGACGAGGCUCCGGAAGGCCCUGCCUGUGGCCUGGGAUCUCUGUGCAGACCCGCAUUCCAGGACAGGGCAUGCAAACAGGACUCGCCACCAACCCUGCCACUUUGUGCUGGGCGACUUUGGGCAAGUGCCCUCACCUCUCUGAACCCCAGUUUCCUCAGAUGGGAGGACUGAUCCUUCCUUCACAGAUUGCAGUGGGAUUCCCGUGAAUAUAAAGGUCUUGGCACAUGGCAGGUAAUUAAAAAAAAAUAUAAGGGUGGGCAUGGGAGGCCCAGAAAACCUGGUUGAUCACGUCCCCUGCCUAGGCCCUGGUCCCUCUGGGUGUUCUGCACACAGACCCUUCUGCCUGGGGCCAGACUCUCGCUUGGAACCCCUAACCGUCUCUUCCCCCCAUUCUUCCUCCUCCUCAGCUUUCUUCUCCGUAGGCAGCUCUUUUGUUCGGUUACUAACCCGUCUAACCCGGGGGUGCCCAGCGGCGCCCCGAUCAUCCUUUAACAAACUAACAGACCUGCGUGUGCUCUUCCUUCUCUCCUAGUGACUCCCGCGUGUGUCUGCUGAGGUGCCCUGUCCGCUGGUGUGUGCUCUGACUUACUAACCCAGCCUCUACUAAUCCUGUUUUCUCUUCCUACUAACCCCAGCCCUGCCGAGCUCUGGGCCCUCCCGGGGGCUGGUCCGGCUCCUUUUGGCAAGCAGAUGUCCGGGGGCGGGCCCUGCAGACAGACACCCCAAUUGGCUGCUUGGGAAUCCACUGGGCCAGGUCUGGGGCAGGGGACUGCCCUAGGAACCCCGCCGGUGGCCCAGAGGAGGAGGCGGUCAUGCGGAGGUGGGGGCCGCCUGCCGGCAUGAGCAUCUCUCCUCUGUGCACAAGUCUGGUUGCCACUGGGAGCGGGAGGGACCAGGGAAACCUCUGGGGCGUGAGUGUGGAGGCCUGCGGGGCUGGAGGUGGAGCACUGGGCUUUUCCGCCCUGGGGCAGAGAGGGGGCCUGGGUGUCCUUCUUGGGAGGGAAGCGUGGGCAGAAUUUUCUCUGCUGCAAAGUGAUGGGCAGACCCAAGGUCCUGCACAGGAAGCCAGUGGGGGGCGUGUCCUAGACAGGAAGCCAGGAGAGGGGCGUGUCCUUCAAGGAAGUCAGGAAGGGGCGUGGCCCACACCGGAAGACAGGGGAAGGGGCGUGUCCUGCACAGGAAAUCAGCAAAGGGGCGUGUCCCACACCGGAAGUCAGUGAGGUGAGACUUCCAUACAUUGGAGGUCAAUGAAAGGGUCUUUCUCACGCUGGAAAUUACCAACUGGAGCAUUUAGCCCAGGAAAUCAGAAAGAGGGGGCAGUUCCCAUAUUUGAAGGGUGGAAAGAGGGGCAUUUCUUACCGACGUCAGUGAGAGGGGAGUUUCUGGCCCCACCCCAGGGCGUGAGAAGGCGUGGCCGAGAGAUCAGUGAGAGGGGCCUUUCCGACCACCGGAAGUUGGCUAGAGGGGCCCUUCCCCCCCACGCCUGAAGCGGAUGUGGGCCAUUUUUUCACACCGGAAGUCACUGACAAGGACUGUCACAUACCAGGAAGCUUGGGCAAGCAGUGGGGACAGAUGAUCCGCCCUGGGUCUGGGGUUGCGGGAGGAGCCGAUGGGACGCAGGAAGUGAACCCCCGUGGGCCCGCAGGAAUCGCAGCCAGGACCUCAGCCCGGCUCCCUGUCUGUCCCACCCACACCCCUGCUCCAGCCGUCUCCCCCAGAGCCCGCCAGCCGCUGAGCCGGGGCCACACCUGGGGGUGAUGUGCUGCCUCACCUCCAGUAGGCACCUUGGUCUCUGAGCUACUCGCUCCCUGGCGCCCUCGCACUAACUCUUGCUCUCCCCCAGCUAACCCCUGCCUCGCCCUGGCUGCCCCGGGGGCUGCCCCUAACAGCCGACCCCGCCCGCCUGGGAGUCCCAGGCUCCCGGCCUGACUCCCUCCGAGCGGCUCGUAAUUAACCUGUCCUUCACCUCCACUAACGCCUGCCCUCCUGGUCUGUUCCUUCCAGCAGAAACUAAUGGCUUGUGGAUUUCUUUCUGACUAACAACAGGUCUAACACUCCUCGUCACUAUUACUAUUAACAGCUUGGAUGUCGGCAUGGCUGGGACGGGGCUAACACAGGGAGAGGUGUAGCUGGUCGCGACGGAUGUGGUCCUCUAAAGGUGGUGCGGGGGUGGGGCGUGGCCGGGGCUGAGGGAGGAGUGGUACCCACCCAUGUGGGGUUAGAAGCAUAGUCACUUUCCAAGGUUUUUGCCACUGGAUAUAUCCUGUCAACCCCUCAUAAUCCGCAUUUGGGUUUUGGUUCUUGUAAACAAUAGCCUUAUAGCUGCAGUGGUCCAAACGAGUGGAUGCAGCCCUUGCAGCCCUCAAACGCCUGUCUGGUGUGUACAGAGAAUAGGCCAUUAUGUAUGGAAGAAUCAGUCACCAGCCCAGGGCAUAGAGUCAUUGAUCUGGGGACUUUGGAGUUUUGAAAGCCCUAGGACAUAAAGUUUUAGAUCAGAAUAUUCAGAAGGGUUAUAAAUCCAUCGCCCAUUUACACCUUAGUGUAAAUUAGCUCAGCUUCCUCUUUUAUCUUCCAUGCAAUUUUAGCUGCCCUGACAGAUGAGAGUUUGGCUGGAAGGGAGUUUGGCUCUCUUCGGGCAUGGGGGAGGUCCUUUGGGAGCAGAGAUGGGGAGCCACGGGGCCAGGGUUCCUGGGUGGCGAUGAAAGGUGGCAUCAGGUUGGGGGUGGGGUGGGAAGAGGGACCCGUUUUUCUGGCUCAGUCAGGAUCUGUGGGAGAGGACAGCUCGUGGCAGGGCCUGGAGGAUUGGAACAGCUCAGGGACAGGGUCAGAGGCCAGCCUGGGGGUCCUGCAGGCAGUUUGCUACGGUUCUUGAAUGCUGAUCUGGGGCGGAGAGGCUCUCUGAUUGCCAUGGGCUCAGAGCUGACCGGGUGGAGCUGGCAGCGAGGCCUGAAAGGUGAGGCAGGGAGGCUGAGCUGCAAAGGGAACCAGAGAGGAGAACGCUGCAGGCAGAGCUGCGGGAGGUGCGCUGGCUGCUGGCAGGGACCCGGAUGCGGCAGCGCCUGCCCUGGGGAAGCCCCUCUUCCCGCCCUCUAGUGGCCACUGGUCGCAUUUCACGCAAAGCAGGAAGCUCAGACGCUGCCCUCUCCGGGAGCUCCUCUUUAUUCGACGACCAAGAUUCGAUGCUGCUGAGGACCUACUGUGUGCCCAGCACUGCUCUGGGUGCAAAGACCCACACUUGGGUUUUUCCAUCAUGGUGCUUAUACAGCUCCGUGGGGGAGAUGGAGAAGUAAACAGAUAAUGCAGCGCGAUGGGUGCCGUGAUGGGGGGUCGGGCUGUGGGAGCACCUGGGAGACAGCGAAGGGUGACACGCACCUGCUCUGAGCCAGGCGCAGUGCUGAGUGGUGAUGAAACAGCGUCUGGACUUCAGGAGCCUCAAUGGUAGCGUGUCGGGUGGGCGUGGGGUAUAAAGUGUGGUGCAGGCAGGCAGCGUAGACAUUCUGAGGAGGGAGACAUCGAAGCCGAGCCCUGGCUGGGGCGUCCGUGCUGGGGAUGAGUUCCAGGCAGCGGGAAUGGUGGACACAGAGUUCUGGGGAUCAGAGAGGAUCGGAGAGAUUCUGGAAGGUUCGUGCAGAAUGCAGCAGGAGACAGACGGGAAGUGGACAAGUCCCAGGCUGGGGGCCGUGGAUGUGAUCUGAGAAGGGGAGAUGUUGGAUUUGAGUUUUAGCUGACAGUAUGGCUCUUUCAGCCCAGGUGAAAGUCUGAGGUGCUUACAACGAGUUCUGGUUAAAUUUUGGUUAACCGGCUAGAACUUCUUGAAACAAGCAGGGCCCUUAGGUUCAUCUUGAGAUGAACAGGAGCCACAGAUGCUCGCCCAGGUGGAAGUAGGUCUGCAGUGACGGGGACACAAAGAGGGCUGUGUUCCUGCGGGGCAGGGGCUUGGCGGAGGUGCCAGUGACGUCUUGGAAGAGGAGCCGUCUCGAAAGCAUGUCACCCCGGGCCCUGGUGGGACGCGGCUCCCGGAGGCGAUCCGAGGGGCUGUGGCCCAGGGCUGGAAGUCUGCAGGAGAAUCCCAUUGGAGAGGGAGCCCAGUUGUCUUGUGUGGCCGCGAGGGGGACACACAGGUGUGGAGUAAGCUUCCGCUGGGCUGAUCCUGGUCGCAGGGCGGGGCUAUGUCUUGGUGGGGAACGAGUCUGAGUCCCUGUGGGCAGAAGGAUUGGGGUGGGGCCACCUUUGAGAUGACGGUGGCGAGAGUCUAGGAUCCUGUGUGUGAGUGUGCGGGUGUGUGAGUGUGGGUCCUCGAGUUAAUACCUGUGGAAGCUGAGCCCGAGCAGGCCCACCCUGCCCAGCCUGGCCGCGCCUGCCGAUGUUCACUCUGGCCUUCAGUCCCCUGAGCAUCAAGCUCACUGGGAGCAGGGCCCAUGAGCUGGCGAACUGACCUCCCAGCCUGAAGAUGUAUCUCCAUCUUUUCUUAAUAGGCUGUGUAGAGGGGGUGGCCCCUGUGGUCUUGCCUGGUUGCGGUGUGGGGCACAUGGUGACACACAGCUGGGGGAUGCCAGUGGGAGGGGCGGUCCCAUCCCAACACAGGACCCCCAUGGCCCUCUUGAGAGUCUGUUCGGGGACCCGUUGUUUUAUUCUAACAGACCAGAGAAUAUAUUUUCCAUGUCAUUGCCUCCCGGGGAGGCCGAAUGUGGGGACAGAAAUUCUGCUGUAGAUUAAAAAUCAGAUUUUUCCAUGGAUCCAGCAAUGGCGUGUGGACUUGGCUUUUCAUUUUCACCCAAAGUGUAGCUCCUUUAGUUUAAGAUGCCGUUUUGAGGUUAAAAAGCAAUUCAUACCCAAGGGAUGGCUGUGGACUGGGAGACAGAUGGGAUGUGUGGUUUGUGGGAUGAAGGGAGCCAGUGGCAUUUUCAAGGAGCAGGAGCAGGCUCUGUCAGCCUUUUCUUAGGACCGUGACUUUAGAGGUCAAUAUAAGAGGGUAUUUAUUUAUUUUUUAUUUUAUUUAUUUAUUUAUUCUUUUGUGAGGAAGAUUGUCACUGAGCUAACAUCUGUGCCAAUCCUUCUCUAUUUUGUAUGUGGGACGCCGCCACAGCAUGGCUUAAUGAGCAGUGUGUAGGUCCACACGCGGGAUCUGAACUGGCGAACCCCAGGCCGCUGAAGCAGAGUGUGUGAACUUAACCACUACACCCCCGGGCUGGCCCCUAUUUUUAUUUUUAAUUGUGGGAAAAUACACAUAAUAAAAUGUACCAUCUUAACCAUUUUUACGUGUACAGUUCAGUGGUAUUAAGUACAUUCACAUUGUUGUGUAAUCAUUACCACUAUUGGUAUAUUUUUUAAUAGCACUACUUUGUGCCUAGGACAGCACUUCAGAGAAAACCCAGGUUCUCACUGUCAGGAAGCUUACACUUCACUGAGAAAGCAAAGAGUUCCUUGGUGACAAAGAAAAAGGUGGAAAGAAUUUAGUGUAUCGGGGUGAAGGGCUGGCAAAUACAUGACACGCGUAUUGCCACUCUCCCUUCCAGCACCCAGGACAGACAUUGCUAGCUGAUCACCGAUCUCUCUUUGGGAACCUGGCUGCAGCUUCAGGAUCUUUCUCCAAACGGUGCUCCAGGGGUUUUUGGCAAUUCAGAGUCAGUCCUAGGAUUGAGAUUCCUGACAGACCUCGGUUUGAACGCCAGCUUUGCCACCUGCCUGCUGUGAGG